RNAcentral lists this transfer RNA (73 nucleotides) under Candidatus Levybacteria bacterium RIFCSPHIGHO2_01_FULL_36_15. RNAcentral's name for it is "tRNA-Met". It matches the Rfam family "tRNA". Rfam says of the family: Transfer RNA (tRNA) molecules are approximately 80 nucleotides in length. Their secondary structure includes four short double-helical elements and three loops (D, anti-codon, and T loops). RNAcentral also lists the same sequence under 1 other name. Lineage: Bacteria; Candidatus Levyibacteriota. The record is from RNAcentral.
GCUAGGAUAGCUCAGCGGUAGUAGCAGUCGUUUCAUAAGCGACCGGUCGUCGGUUCGAAUCCGACUCCUAGCA